AUUUGUAGAGGAUGUUUCGAAUGCGGUCCAGUUUAAGUUCCUUGGAACAGGACGUCAUAGAGGGUGAGAAUCCCGUAUGUGACUGGGUGCCAAUUUCAUGUGAAACUCCUUCGAC
Molecule: ribosomal RNA, 115 nt
Filed under: Collophora sp.
Lineage: Eukaryota; Fungi; Ascomycota; Leotiomycetes
Description: partial large subunit ribosomal RNA
Source: RNAcentral